GUUACGUUUUCCAUCUUACUGCAUAUGAGCAAAACAACCAGAAUGAGGACGGCGCAACUUUUACUCUUCUGUCUGCUGGUGUGUCAAAAUACAGAGAGUUUAACUGAUAAACUGGUGAAUUUAGGGGAAAAUGUGACUUUAGACUGUCAGAUUGAUGUAAGAGACAUUUAUUGGGUUUUCCAGAAACCGUCAGACUCUCCGCUGCUGAUACUGCGAACUUUCUCAUCAGAUUCUACAUCAUCUUAUGUACAAGACCAAAGACUGAAAGACAAAUAUUCAUCACUAACUUUGAGCCGUUUAUUUAUUAUUAAUAUAACUUUUCAUGAAUUAGGAAUAUAUUAUUGUGCAAAAGCAGCCACAACUCUACAGAUCAGCAAUGGCACCAGACUUUACAUCAACGGUAAGAAGCUGCUCGAGAUCACAAUCAGACAGAACUGAAAAAUAACUCGCAACGUCAGACUACACAGCAAUCUCUCAUAGUUUUGUGCUUCAUACCAAAUAUUGUGAUGUUUUUGGCAAUAAUAGGCCUGUUCCAGAUCAAACUCCAAGCGUGUAAAAAAGACACCAACAAUGUCAAGAUGAAGAACUGGAGCAGCUUUACAGCACACAUGAUGAAGAGUUUUCUGAAGUGGAGUUUCAUCUGUUUCACCCGACCAACAACACUUUUCUUCCUUUUCAAAAGCCGAAGACAAAACCUAGACAAACAUCCUAGAGAAACCUAGAGAAAGAUCAGCUCAUAUAGUCUAAUAGAAGUAUGUAUAUUGUGUUAAAUAAUGAGUGAAAUAUUGUUAGCUGAUGUUUGUUACCUAAACAUGCAUGUAAUACAAAAUUUGCAAUGUUUUCAGCAUGACUUUAUUUGCUUUUGUUUUGAUAAAUAAGUCUCGUAAAUAAAAUCCAUAAAUCUUGAUUCUGUAUGUUUAUUUUGAGUGGCUUCAUUCUCUGACUUUGGGCUUUUAUAAUAAUGUAAAUAAUAAUGUAAAAUUAAGAUUUUUGAAUGUUUUUGAAAGUCAUAAAACAGGAAAAAGA
Molecule: long non-coding RNA, 1026 nt
Organism: Cyprinus carpio (common carp)
Lineage: Eukaryota; Metazoa; Chordata; Actinopteri; Cypriniformes; Cyprinidae
Exons: 5
Source: RefSeq, a predicted model, not a curated record